GAGGGUAUAACUCAGUGGUAGAGAGAAUGCUUAAUAUGCACAAGGUCCUGGGUUCAAUCCCCAAUACCUCCA
Molecule: transfer RNA, 72 nt
Filed under: Camelus bactrianus (Bactrian camel)
Lineage: Eukaryota; Metazoa; Chordata; Mammalia; Artiodactyla; Camelidae
Also listed under: 2 other names
Rfam family: tRNA
About the family: Transfer RNA (tRNA) molecules are approximately 80 nucleotides in length. Their secondary structure includes four short double-helical elements and three loops (D, anti-codon, and T loops).
Source: Rfam by way of RNAcentral